Molecule: ribosomal RNA, 440 nt
Filed under: uncultured bacterium
Lineage: Bacteria
Description: bacterial SSU rRNA
Rfam family: Bacterial small subunit ribosomal RNA
Source: RNAcentral
AACGCGAAGAACCUUACCUGGGCUCGAAAUGUACCGGAAUCCGGCAGAAACGUCGGCGUCUAGCAAUAGACCGGUAUAUAGGUGCUGCAUGGCUGUCGUCAGCUCGUGUCGUGAGAUGUUGGGUUAAGUCCCGCAACGAGCGCAACCCUUAUCUUCAGUUGCUACCAUUUAGUUGAGCACUCUGACGAAACCGCCUCGGAUAACGGGGAGGAAGGUGGGGAUGACGUCAAGUCCUCAUGGCCUUUAUGUCCAGGGCUACACACGUGCUACAAUGGCCGGUACAAACCGCUGCAAACCCGCGAGGGGGAGCUAAUCGGAAAAAGCCGGCCUCAGUUCGGAUUGGAGUCUGCAACUCGACUCCAUGAAGUUGGAAUUGCUAGUAAUGGCGUGUCAGCUACAACGCCGUGAAUACGUUCCCGGGCCUUGUACACACCGCAUAC